AGUCGAGGGGUAUGCUUCUUCGGGAGCAAAGACCGGCGUACGGGUGCGUAACGCGUAUGCAAUCUACCUUUCACAGAGGGAUAGCCCAAAGAAAUUUGGAUUAAUACCUCAUAGUAUAGCAGUUUCGCAUGAAACCACUAUUAAAGUCACAACGGUGAAAGAUGAGCAUGCGUCCCAUUAGCUAGUUGGUAAGGUAACGGCUUACCAAGGCAACGAUGGGUAGGGGUCCUGAGAGGGAGAUCCCCCACACUGGUACUGAGACACGGACCAGACUCCUACGGGAGGCAGCAGUGAGGAAUAUUGGACAAUGGGCGCAAGCCUGAUCCAGCCAUGCCGCGUGCAGGAUGACGGUCCUAUGGAUUGUAAACUGCUUUUAUACGAGAAGAAACCCUCCGACGUGUCGGAGCUUGACGGUAUCGUAAGAAUAAGGAUCGGCUAACUCCGUGCCAGCAGCCGCGGUAAUACGGAGGAUCCAAGCGUUAUCCGGAAUCAUUGGGUUUAAAGGGUCCGUAGGCGGUCAGGUAAGUCAGUGGUGAAAGCCCAUCGCUCAACGGUGGAACGGCCAUUGAUACCGUCUGACUUGAAUUAUUAGGAAGUAACUAGAAUAUGUAGUGUAGCGGUGAAAUGCUUAGAGAUUACAUGGAAAUACCAAUUGCGAAG
RNAcentral lists this ribosomal RNA (660 nucleotides) under uncultured bacterium. RNAcentral's name for it is "bacterial SSU rRNA". It matches the Rfam family "Bacterial small subunit ribosomal RNA", at positions 60 to 720 of the family's 1533-position model. The record is from RNAcentral.